CCUACGGGAGGCAGCAGUGGGGAAUUUUGGACAAUGGGGGCAACCCUGAUCCAGCCAUUCCGCGUGAGUGAAGAAGGCCUUCGGGUUGUAAAGCUCUUUCGCAAGGGAAGAAAACUUAUGAUCGAAUAAAUCAUGAGGUUGACGGUACCUUGAUAAGAAGCACCGGCUAACUACGUGCCAGCAGCCGCGGUAAUACGUAGGGUGCGAGCGUUAAUCGGAAUUACUGGGCGUAAAGCGUGCGCAGGCGGUUUUGUAAGUCGGAUGUGAAAUCCCCGGGCUCAACCUGGGAACUGCGUUCGAAACUGCAAGGCUAGAGUGUGUCAGAGGGGGGUAGAAUUCCACGUGUAGCAGUGAAAUGCGUAGAGAUGUGGAGGAAUACCAAUGGCGAAGGCAGCCCCCUGGGAUAACACUGACGCUCAUGCACGAAAGCGUGGGGAGCAAACAGGAUUAGAUACCCUGGUAGUCCACGCCCUAAACGAUGUCAACUAGUUGUUGGUAGAGUAAAAUCUAUGAGUAACGUAGCUAACGCGUGAAGUUGACCGCCCGGGGAGUACGGUCGCAAGAUUAAAACUCAAAGGAAUUGACGG
This 587-nucleotide ribosomal RNA is filed under the name uncultured bacterium. RNAcentral describes it as "bacterial SSU rRNA". It matches the Rfam family "Bacterial small subunit ribosomal RNA", at positions 338 to 916 of the family's 1533-position model. The record is from RNAcentral.